Microcebus murinus (gray mouse lemur) is the source of this 1864-nucleotide non-coding RNA. Lineage: Eukaryota; Metazoa; Chordata; Mammalia; Primates; Cheirogaleidae. The record is from RefSeq and is a predicted model, not a curated record.
GCCCCGCCCCGCUCCGCGGUCCGCAGCCGCAGGCCUCGCGCGGAGCGUAGCCGGGGGUCGCGGUCUCGGGCCUGGAAGCGCGAGGGACGAGGCUGCGGGCACUGGAGCCCCGGGGGAAAGAGGGCGAGUCCUUCCUGAGAGGAUUGGGCCAGAGCGAAGACUGCGGUCAAGGGAAGUGGAGCCGCCCGGCCCAAAGCUCGGAGAGCGCCGGCCGCCUCCCCCACGAGUGGAAACUUGAAACUCCCGCUGGUGCCAGCAAACUCACUGCGGGCGUCUCCAUCGCCCCCGAAGGAGGAAUUCUUCCCAGAGGGAUUCGGGGACCAAAUUGGGCGUGUUACUUGGCUGUUUGCUUUGAAAAUCAUGUACUAGCAGAGAGAAAUGGGCCUACCUGAGAGGAACUUGUAUUCGCAACGAAGAAGGUUUAAAUUAUUUUGGCAGGUUUUAACCAACUAGAAAAACUUGCUUUUUUUCAGGGACAGUUUUUAAACUCCACCCCAAACCUCAAUAGAUAUCGCCCCAAAUCAGGAGUGCAAGUUUUAAUCCAAGCAAGGAUAUGUGAUUUUUUUUAUUGCCAACGACAAUCUUUGGCAGUUGGAAGGAGUGGGCUAGGAAGAAAAAGUUGGAGGUAGGGCCCCAAAGAGCAGCCAAACCUGAAUUAUUCUAGAUUUAGAGAAAGUUAGGCAUUCAGUCGUAGUCUAACUCUAGCCCCUCAUUUUAGCUAGUGGCUGGGGUUAGACUGAAAUCUCCUGAAUUCCGGAUCAGUGUUCUGUUACCUACUCCAUGCUUCCUCCUCUCAGUAUUUUCUGCUGAGAUUCUAAGAGCAAAAUUUGCUAUGAGUGUACAAACAGCAAGUGCACAAAAUCAGAGUAGCCUGGCUUGCCCUGUUUGCAGUUUAGCUUCUCUUUUGUGAACAAACUUUAGAUGCAGAUAACAAAACUCAUCAAUGUACUUUUUUUCCCCUGCCAAAUAGCUUGUCUAGAAUCAAUGUACUUUUAUAGAAUAAAUAAUUCAUAUCCAUUCUGCCUUAGUAUUUACCUUCGUUGAGAUAGUAUUUUUUCCAGGAACUAUCUCCAGAUCACUUUCACUAAGCUUCCUCUUCAGUGAGUUAUCACUAUCGCCCUUUGAAAGGUCUCUAAACAAUUAAAAGCCUCAAGAGACUCCAGGGGUUGAACUCAAAGGCAAAUUCCUCAAGGAUGGAAAGCAGGUAAUGAGCAGAUGUUGUAAGAAGGUUUGAGGGAGACACAUGUCACACAUGAGCAUGAAAACCUAGUCUUCACACGAACUACAAAAGGAUUAAGAAGAGAACACCACAUGGAGAAGGGAAGAGUGAAGGGAAGUUCCUUAAGAGAAGAAGCAGGAGGAAAAGCAACCAGCUUUGGAGACUGACUAUCAAUAUGGGGUUGAUCUUUGGAUAUAAGGAUGUUUAUAACCAAAGGUUUCAAGGUAAGUUGAGACACACUGGGAAGUGUAGAAUUUAUCCUUCAUCCUUGAGGAAAUAGGAAUUCAUGCAUAAGAGGUGUUAAGAAGAGAAAUAAUGUGAUCUGGCUUAUAUUUUAGUAAGGUUACUCGCAGCCACGUGAAUUGCCUGGUUCAGUGACAGUGAGAGUAAGAUGGCGAGACCACCAGUGGCACUUUAGAUAACACAGUUUUGCUAUAAAGGUCCAUGCAAGUGAGAAUGAGGGUCUGAACUUAGGAGGUUGUGAGGAUGGAGAGGAAAUAGAAUCUGUUAAAAGAUUUGGAGAUAGACUUUGAGAGAAAAAGAAAAGGAGAUGUGAAAAUGAUUUCAAGGUGGGUACCAUUAAGGUAAAUGGAGAGUGUAAAAGAAGUAGAACUGAGAGAUCAAGAUAAUUAGGCAAGUUGGGAA